UACGUAGGGGGCAAGCGUUGUCCGGAAUCAUUGGGCGUAAAGAGCGUGUAGGCGGUCCGGUAAGUCGGCUGUGAAAGUCCAGGGCUCAACCCUGGGAUGCCGGUCGAUACUGCCGGACUAGAGUUCUGAAGAGGCGAGUGGAAUUCCUGGUGUAGCGGUGAAAUGCGCAGAUAUCAGGAGGAACACCUACGGCGAAGGCAGCUCGCUGGGACGGUACUGACGCUGAGACGCGAAAGCGUGGGGAGCAAACAGG
RNAcentral lists this ribosomal RNA (253 nucleotides) under uncultured bacterium. RNAcentral's name for it is "partial 16S ribosomal RNA". It matches the Rfam family "Bacterial small subunit ribosomal RNA", at positions 524 to 776 of the family's 1533-position model. The record is from RNAcentral.